Molecule: long non-coding RNA, 590 nt
Filed under: Coturnix japonica (Japanese quail)
Lineage: Eukaryota; Metazoa; Chordata; Aves; Galliformes; Phasianidae
Description: lncRNA (ENSCJPG00005016055.1)
Source: RNAcentral
UGAAGGAGCCACAGUCCACCACCUCCAGGGUCAAGGCUUUGCCACCACCGCAGGGCAUGGAGUGCCAUAAGUAGUGCUGAAUGGAGCAAGGAGGAGGAGAUGGCCGCACACAUAGCAUGGAAGCUUUGACUAAUGGACUCCAGCUCUCAAGGCUCUUACUGUCAGCAGGAAGCUCCCGAGCAGUUCCUCACCUUCAAACUCCUUUUAAAGCACAGUGGGAAAGCACAAGAACGAAAACAUGCAAGGAGAAGAAAGAGAGAGGAAGAGAAAUGUCUCCCACAGCCACACAUCCUCGCUUCUCUACCUGCAGCUAUUAGAGGCAGAGCUCUGUAUGAGAGGUGUCUCCAACUCAGAAAAGCCUGCUUGAGGACCCAAAGCCCAGAGGAGACAGUUGUUUCAACUUCACAUAAAAGGAGAAUGUGGUGAGUUUUUUGAGCAUACAGCUCACUCAGAUACACACAACUGGGAGGGUUGUCUGACAGACCUGUGGGUUGUGCUGCCAUCCAGAGGGAUGUUGACAGGCUGGAAAAAUGGGCUUUGUAAAGAACCUCCUGAAGUGCAGCAAAGAGUGUUGCAAAGUCCUGUACCUG